This 73-nucleotide transfer RNA is filed under the name Camelus bactrianus (Bactrian camel). It matches the Rfam family "tRNA". Rfam says of the family: Transfer RNA (tRNA) molecules are approximately 80 nucleotides in length. Their secondary structure includes four short double-helical elements and three loops (D, anti-codon, and T loops). The record is from Rfam by way of RNAcentral. RNAcentral also lists the same sequence under 2 other names. Lineage: Eukaryota; Metazoa; Chordata; Mammalia; Artiodactyla; Camelidae.
GAGGGUACAGCUCAAGUGGCAGAGCACAUGCUUAGCAUGCAUGAGGUCCUAGGUUCAAUCCCCAGUACCUCCU